This 75-nucleotide microRNA precursor is filed under the name Pristionchus pacificus. Its description in RNAcentral is "microRNA ppc-mir-8343 precursor". Lineage: Eukaryota; Metazoa; Nematoda; Chromadorea; Rhabditida; Neodiplogasteridae. The record is from miRBase by way of RNAcentral.
UGGCAAGAACUUCGGCACGGUCUGGAUCAUAGGAUCUAUGAGAAUCCCUUUUCCUCAUGGGCCGCUCUUGCCCGC